This 429-nucleotide ribosomal RNA is filed under the name Pseudomonadota bacterium. RNAcentral describes it as "Proteobacteria bacterium partial 16S ribosomal RNA". It matches the Rfam family "Bacterial small subunit ribosomal RNA", at positions 355 to 776 of the family's 1533-position model. The record is from RNAcentral. Lineage: Bacteria; Pseudomonadati; Pseudomonadota.
UGGGGAAAAUUGGACAAUGGGCGAAAGCCUGAUCCAGCCAUGCCGCGUGUGUGAAGGAGGUCUUCGGAUUGUAAAGCACUUUAAGUUGGGAGGAAGGGCAGUAAGCGAAUACCUUGCUGUUUUGACGUUACCGACAGAAUAAGCACCGGCUAACUCUGUGCCAGCAGCCGCGGUAAUACAGAGGGUGCAAGCGUUAAUCGGAAUUACUGGGCGUAAAGCGCGCGUAGGUGGUUCGUUAAGUUGAAUGUGAAAGCCCCGGGCUCAACCUGGGAACUGCAUCCAAAACUGGCGAGCUAGAGUAGGGCAGAGGGUGGUGGAAUUUCCUGUGUAGCGGUGAAAUGCGUAGAUAUAGGAAGGAACACCAGUGGCGAAGGCGACCACCUGGGCUCAUACUGACACUGAGGUGCGAAAGCGUGGGGAGCAAACAGG